GGUGGCCUUGGGCCAGCCCUUUCCUCUCUUCUUCUUUAGGAAGAAGGCAACGGCAAACCAUUUUCCAAAAUCUUUUGGCAAAAAAAAAAAACCCACAAGGACGAGUUCAUGUAGUCAUCAGCAAUCCACACCAACUUAAACUACAAAUACUAAAUAAAAUAGUCAACUUUUCCAAGAGCUUCUGAUAGACUCUGGUUUGAAAUAGGACACUGAGAAGAGCAGAAUGGGUUUGUCUCUCUGAUCUAGGAGGAAAGGUUCACCGACAAAUGGGCGCAUGACAAAAGCGCGGCAAGAAAACUGCGAGGUCGAAAUCACUCCCACAACAGCACGCCGACAAAAGGGCGCCAUCAACAAACAACGUGAAAACAAGCCCACUUCUUCUCUUAGUCCCGGCCGGAUUACCAAACUGCACUGCGUCAGAAUAAAAAGGAAUCACAGAGACCUUCCUAAGCAGGAGGAGAUAGCAGCCUGCUGAUAGAAAAGAUAGAAAAGCCGAGCCGAGCAGCUGGGCUGCAUAUAUCACUGAAAGAGGAGAACGAAGGCUCGGGAAGGCUUGCCGAUUCAGCCCAAGCGGAGCCAUCUGGUGAGCCAGACAACUCAGCAGAAUUAUUCACAGAAAGAUUCUGUGACCAAACACAGAAACAAAACUGCUGUAUUCAAAGAGGUAAGAGAAGACUAGAAGGACAAGAUGAGCAA
Thamnophis elegans (Western terrestrial garter snake) is the source of this 696-nucleotide long non-coding RNA. RefSeq lists it as uncharacterized. The record is from RefSeq and is a predicted model, not a curated record. NCBI's taxonomy places the organism in Eukaryota, Metazoa, Chordata, Lepidosauria, Squamata, Natricidae. The transcript has 2 exons.